GCUGGGCAUGGUGGUGCAUGCCUGUAAUCCCAGGAGCUAUGGAGGCUGAGGCAGGAGGAUCACAUAUUCAAAGCUAGCCUCAG
Molecule: small RNA, 83 nt
Filed under: Marmota monax (woodchuck)
Lineage: Eukaryota; Metazoa; Chordata; Mammalia; Rodentia; Sciuridae
Source: RNAcentral